UACAGAGGUCCCAAGCGUUGUUCGGAUUCACUGGGCGUAAAGGGUGCGUAGGUGGCUGGGCAAGUUUGAUGUGAAAUCUCCGGGCUUAACCCGGAAACUGCAUUGAAAACUGCCCGGCUGGAGGAUUGGAGGGGGGACUGGAAUUCUCGGUGUAGCAGUGAAAUGCGUAGAUAUCGAGAGGAACACCAGUGGCGAAGGCGAGUCCCUGGACAAUACCUGACACUGAGGCACGAAAGCCGGGGGAGCAAACAGG
Molecule: ribosomal RNA, 253 nt
Filed under: uncultured bacterium
Lineage: Bacteria
Description: partial 16S ribosomal RNA
Rfam family: Bacterial small subunit ribosomal RNA
Source: RNAcentral